UACAGAGGGUGCGAGCGUUAAUCGGAAUUACUGGGCGUAAAGCGCGCGUAGGCGGCUUUGCAAGUCGGGUGUGAAAUCCCCAGGCUUAACCUGGGAACUGCAUCCGAGACUGCAUUGCUAGAGUAUGGGAGAGGGAAGUGGAAUUUCAGGUGUAGCGGUGGAAUGCGCGGAUAUCAGGAGGAACACCAAUAGCGAAGGCAGCUCGCUGGGACGGUACUGACGCUAAGGCGCGAAAGCGUGGGGAGCGAACAGG
This 253-nucleotide ribosomal RNA is filed under the name uncultured bacterium. Its description in RNAcentral is "partial 16S ribosomal RNA". It matches the Rfam family "Bacterial small subunit ribosomal RNA", at positions 524 to 776 of the family's 1533-position model. The record is from RNAcentral.